AAGAUCAAAUAGUUCACAUCGACGGGAAGGUUUGGCACAUUGAUGUCGGCUCUUUGCCACCUGGGGCUGUAAUAUGUUUCAAGGGUUGGGCUGAGUGGUACUUGUGCUGGGUUCAAAAUGUCGUGAGACAGUUC
RNAcentral lists this non-coding RNA (134 nucleotides) under Macleaya cordata. RNAcentral's name for it is "Bacterial large subunit ribosomal RNA". It matches the Rfam family "Bacterial large subunit ribosomal RNA", at positions 2487 to 2632 of the family's 2925-position model. Lineage: Eukaryota; Viridiplantae; Streptophyta; Magnoliopsida; Ranunculales; Papaveraceae. The record is from Rfam by way of RNAcentral.